AACUCUUGCGUGUGUUUUUGUUUAACAUGUGGACAAGGACUUAUAGGUAAGUGCAAAAAUAAAGCCCCUUUUGCAACCCAGAACUUAUUGUUCAAUAUGAGUUUUGGUACAUAUAAGCAGAAAUUUU
Molecule: small nucleolar RNA, 127 nt
Filed under: Sciurus vulgaris (Eurasian red squirrel)
Lineage: Eukaryota; Metazoa; Chordata; Mammalia; Rodentia; Sciuridae
Description: Small nucleolar RNA SNORA40 (ENSSVLG00005010479.1)
Rfam family: Small nucleolar RNA SNORA40
About the family: The snoRNA ACA 40 belongs to the H/ACA family of snoRNAs and guides the pseudouridylation of 28S rRNA subunit at position U4565.
Source: Rfam by way of RNAcentral